Anarrhichthys ocellatus (wolf-eel) is the source of this 1174-nucleotide long non-coding RNA. RefSeq lists it as uncharacterized. The record is from RefSeq and is a predicted model, not a curated record. NCBI's taxonomy places the organism in Eukaryota, Metazoa, Chordata, Actinopteri, Perciformes, Anarhichadidae. The transcript is spliced from 3 exons.
UCCUCCCGGUAAGCGGAUUACACAGCCAGGCAGCAGACUGCUGUACCUCUCCACCCUGCGUAAAAGUAGCCGGUUGAGGAGUUAAAUCGAAACUGACUGCACGUGCCUCCUCUUCCUCGCGGCCUCAGCCUCCGCCUCUCCCACCCAACAAAGCCCAGCUGUCCUCUGGAUCGGCGCAGAGGCGUCCAUCCCUCCUUGAAAGCCGGUGCGCUCCCGCAGACGCCCGCCCGCCUGUGCGCUCCGGUGUGAGGGCUAAAACGCUGGAUGGUCUGUUUGUGUGGCAGAUUUGGCCCCGCCUUAGGAGCUGCCCUUGUGGGACAUUAGCAACUGUAUGCUUGAAGAUGGACAAAUUCUAAUUUCUCCAGAGGAAGAGGUGUGGAGAGAAGGAGUACAUCAGCUUUAUGAACGAAUUCCUGCAGCAGCACUGGGAUGGAAUGAGAUAAAUCCCAAUGUCCUCCGUUGGUGGCGAUGUGGAUCUGCCUCUACGCCCGGCUGUGCUCCAUGGCCUUCUGGUAGUCAUCAUCUAUCAGAGGGACCAGAUAGGACAGAAAAGACACGAGUCCAGUUUGGUUGUUCGUUGCAAAAGUUUGUGUAACUCUUGCAGUAUUUAACAUUUAUGACAGAGCCUGAGCUGGACAUGUCAAAGCGCCUGGAGGACUUCAUUAUCCAAAGCCAGGACCAGAAUGCAAUGCUGCAGGCUGAGGUGACCAAGAUCCGGAAUCAGCUGUCUGUUCGAGAGGAGCAGCUCGCCAGCGCCACCUUCAUGUAAAACAAUAGAGCCUAAAAGUAAUGUGCAUGUUGCAUUUGUCAGCAAGUUUUCCAGUUGUUUGAUUUAAAAAAUUUAAAAUAUGCAUAUCCUGUAUUCCACACUUUAUAACUUUAAUUAGUCUCAUAAAGAUGAAUAAAGCUGUUAAUACUUCAACUGGACCGGGUGUAGAAAGCUGUAAGCUAGGCUGUGUUCUAACUGUUAUUACUAAUUAGCAGUCAAAUAUUUGAUGGUUCCAUAGCAUUUUGGUGUUCUUGUCUACAUGAACAUGUCUUCUAUCUGUCACAGGCUCGGUGUGAUUGAGCAAUUAAGAAUAUAUAUAAUGGGACCAGGAACAAUAGACAAUGUAAUAAAGUGACUGUGAUUAACUAACUCAAAAAAGGGGAUUCCUGACAAUUAAAUUUUAGA